AGAACGAACGCUGGCGGCAUGCCUAACACAUGCAAGUCGAACGCUCUUGGUUUCGGCCAAGGGAGUGGCGCACGGGUGAGUAACGCGUGGGAACCUGCCCUGGAGUGGGGGAUAACCGAGGGAAACCUCGGCUAAUACCGCAUACGACCUGAGGGUGAAAGAUUUAUCGCUCUAGGAGGGGCCCGCGUCGGAUUAGCUAGUUGGUGAGGUAACGGCCCACCAAGGCUAUGAUCCGUAGCUGGUCUGAGAGGAUGAUCAGCCACACUGGGACUGAGACACGGCCCAGACUCCUACGGGAGGCAGCAGUGGGAAUAUUGGACAAUGGGCGCAAGCCUGAUCCAGCAAUGCCGCGUGAGUGAUGAAGGCCUUAGGGUUGUAAAGCUCUUUCACACGCGACGAUGAUGACGGUAGCGUGAGAAGAAGCCCGGACUAACUUCGUGCCAGCAGCCGC
This 451-nucleotide ribosomal RNA is filed under the name uncultured bacterium. RNAcentral's name for it is "SSU rRNA". It matches the Rfam family "Bacterial small subunit ribosomal RNA", at positions 26 to 518 of the family's 1533-position model. The record is from RNAcentral.